This 1411-nucleotide long non-coding RNA is filed under the name Malus domestica (apple). RNAcentral's name for it is "long non-coding RNA (MDOM_LNC018113)". The record is from RNAcentral. Lineage: Eukaryota; Viridiplantae; Streptophyta; Magnoliopsida; Rosales; Rosaceae.
UUUCCUCACUCCUCCUUUCGGCUUAGGAGUGGGUGACUUCUUCUCCUUCCCUUUGCCUUUGCCUUGCGGCUUGGCCUUGGAAGAGGAUGGCUUGUUGUAGACUACUGCAGAAGUCCCUACAACGUUCUCUUUCUUCAUAGUCUUCUCGGCAGUUACUAACAUAUUUAGUAACACAGAGAGAGUACUAUCCAUCUUAUUCAUAUUGUAGUUCAUUACGAACUGCGCGAAUGAAUCAGAAAGAGAAGCCAAUACGAAGUCCUGGGCCAAUUCCCCGUCAAGUGGAGUACCAAGGUUCUCCAAUUGUUCAAUGAAUCAUAUCAUCUUCAGUACAUGUUGAUGUACUAGAGCCCCUUUGACCAUCUUGGUCUUCACAAGUUCACAAACAAUGCUAAAGCGACGGUUGCGCGUCCCUUCACCAUAUAACUCCGUAAGAUGGAGUAUUAUGGAAGAUGCACUGUCCAUGCCCUCGUGCUGUCUCUGUAGCUCCUCAUUCAUGGAAGCCAACGAUAGCACUUGGCUUGUGUGUCUUCCUCAACGUGCUUGUCAAACUUAGCAUGUUCAUCCUCAGUAGCCUCAGGGCUGAGAGGUAUGUGAGGUGGAGCCUUGUCUAGUACGUAAACAAUCUUCUCCAAUGUUAGGAGAAUCUUGACAUUACGAUACCACGAUGGGAAAUUGUGCCCCUCUAGGCAAUGUUUGUCGAGUAUUUUCGCGAGUGUGCUUCCAACCAUAUCUAAAUACAUAAACAAUAAAAUAAAUAGUUUGAUUGUCGAUUAAGUCAAACGAUUCGGGUCUUUAAACCGAAUGACACCACCCACCAUUUUUGGCAAAUUCCAUAUCCCUCAAGAUGAAAUCCAGGAGUUUUCAAAGAAAGCUCCUAGCGGGUUAUGGGAGGCUCACUAUUACCAAACCCACCUCACGAUGAUACGAUGUUGGCUAGCAAAAAUAAUAAUGAGAGGGUACAAUUACCCAUUCACAAUAACCUCUUGUGAUUACCUAUCUUUUUGGCCUCUAGAGAACAAUGCUUCACGAUGAUACGAUGUUGGCAUCAUUUCUCUUAGUUAAGUUCUUUCCCACCAUGCCGGUUUAGAUAGGGGUUCAAGCAUGACCUCACGAUGAUACGAUGUUGGCCACACUCGUUGCCUACCUUAACCUCAUCAAAUGUUUUAAAUAAACUCCUCCUGCAUAUAAGCAUGCACUUUGCACUCCCCCAUGAUAGGGUGAAGGCGGUGUACAAGUCAUAAACGAUUGGAGCCUACCACGGUGGAAGGCCACCAAAAAGUGUUCAAAGCACUCUUACACUUUCAACUUAAUAUUGUAUGUUGGUUGAGGGAUUUUAAGGUCUCAUCUAUUUUAUUUAUUUAAUCACAUUCAAAUAAAUAAUGUCCUAUUACAACUACUAGUCCAAAGUUAA